Molecule: ribosomal RNA, 497 nt
Filed under: uncultured bacterium
Lineage: Bacteria
Description: partial 16S ribosomal RNA
Rfam family: Bacterial small subunit ribosomal RNA
Source: RNAcentral
GACGAACGCUGGCGGCGUGCCUAAUACAUGCAAGUUGAGCGCUGAAGGUUGGUACUUGUACCGACUGGAUGAGCAGCGAACGGGUGAGUAACGCGUGGGGAAUCUGCCUUUGAGCGGGGGACAACAUUUGGAAACGAAUGCUAAUACCGCAUAAAAACUUUAAACACAAGUUUUAAGUUUGAAAGAUGCAAUUGCAUCACCCAAAGAUGAUCCCGCGUUGUAUUAGCUAGUUGGUGAGGUAAAGGCUCACCAAGGCGAUGAUACAUAGCCGACCUGAGAGGGUGGUCGGCCACAUUGGGACUGAGACACGGCCCAAACUCCUACGGGAGGCAGCAGUAGGGAAUCUUCGGCAAUGGACGAAAGUCUGACCGGGCAACGCCGCGUGAGUGAAGAAGGUUUUCGGAUCGUAAAACUCUGUUGGUAGAGAAGAACGUUGGUGAGAGUGGAAAGCUCAUCAAGUGACGGUAACUACCCAGAAAGGGACGGCUAACUACGUG